Molecule: unclassified non-coding RNA, 305 nt
Filed under: Hevea brasiliensis (rubber tree)
Lineage: Eukaryota; Viridiplantae; Streptophyta; Magnoliopsida; Malpighiales; Euphorbiaceae
Source: RNAcentral
GCCAGGCAUUCAUGUAAUCUCAAUUUAGCCCAAUUUAUGUCAUCAGCAAAGAUCAACAGAGGAGAAAAGAUUUUUCACUCGAGAUUAUAUUUUCUGGAACUAAUAUUUAGAUUUAAGACACAACUACUAGUUGAGGUUUGGCAUAGAAACAUUGGGUUAUUGAUCAAAUAGAACUUACAAGAGCAGACGAGGAGAAAAUAAGAUUUACAUUAGCAGAGGACAUAAAGCCGAAAGCCUUAACUCAUUACAUUCCAAAAAUAAAUCUAAUCUAUUCUUAAAUCAUCUCCUGUGGGGAUUGUGCAAUG